RNAcentral lists this ribosomal RNA (356 nucleotides) under uncultured Pelotomaculum sp. RNAcentral describes it as "bacterial SSU rRNA". It matches the Rfam family "Bacterial small subunit ribosomal RNA", at positions 1028 to 1382 of the family's 1533-position model. The record is from RNAcentral. Lineage: Bacteria; Bacillati; Bacillota; Clostridia; Eubacteriales; Desulfotomaculaceae.
GGGAGGACAGGUGGUGGCAUGGUUGUCGUCAGCUCGUGUCGUGAGAUGUUGGUUAAGUCCCGCAACGAGCGCAACCCCUACGUUUAGUUGCUAACGCGUGAAGGCGAGCACUCUAGACGAACUGCCGUUGACAAAACGGAGGAAGGUGGGGAUGACGUCAAAUCAUCAUGCCCCCUUAUGUUCUGGGCUACACACGUGCUACAAUGGCCGGUACAGACGGACGCAAAGCCGCGAGGUGGAGCAAAUCCGAAAAAGCCGGUCUCAGUUCGGAUUGCAGGCUGCAAUUCGCCUGCAUGAAGUCGGAAUCGCUAGUAAUCGCAGGUCAGCAUACUGCGGUGAAUACGUUCCCGGGCCUU